AGAGUUUGAUCCUGGCUCAGAACGAACGCUGGCGGCAUGCCUAACACAUGCAAGUCGAACGAGACCUUCGGGUCUAGUGGCGCACGGGUGCGUAACGCGUGGGAAUCUGCCCUUGGGUUCGGAAUAACACAGAGAAAUUUGUGCUAAUACCGGAUGAUGUCUUCGGACCAAAGAUUUAUCGCCCAAGGAUGAGCCCGCGUAAGAUUAGCUAGUUGGUGGGGUAAUGGCCCACCAAGGCGACGAUCUUUAGCUGGUCUGAGAGGAUGAUCAGCCACACUGGGACUGAGACACGGCCCAGACUCCUACGGGAGGCAGCAGUGGGGAAUAUUGGACAAUGGGCGAAAGCCUGAUCCAGCAAUGCCGCGUGAGUGAUGAAGGCCUUAGGGUUGUAAAGCUCUUUUACCAGGGAUGAUAAUGACAGUACCUGGAGAAUAAGCUCCGGCUAACUCCGUGCCAGCAGCCGCGGUAAUACGGAGGGAGCUAGCGUUGUUCGGAAUUACUGGGCGUAAAGCGUACGUAGGCGGUUACUCAAGUCAGAGGUGAAAGCCCGGGGCUCAACCCCGGAACUGCCUUUGAAACUAGGUAGCUAGAGUCUUGGAGAGGUUAGUGGAAUUCCGAGUGUAGAGGUGAAAUUCGUAGAUAUUCGGAAGAACACCAGUGGCGAAGGCGACUAACUGGACAAGUACUGACGCUGAGGUACGAAAGCGUGGGGAGCAAACAGGAUUAGAUACCCUAGUAGUCC
Molecule: ribosomal RNA, 742 nt
Filed under: uncultured bacterium
Lineage: Bacteria
Description: bacterial SSU rRNA
Rfam family: Bacterial small subunit ribosomal RNA
Source: RNAcentral